CUCAAUACUAACAUUUGACUGACCUUUGACUAAUUCUUAUUAAUAUUGAUUUACUUUCAAGUCAUUUACUUUAUGCAAUUUAAAUUUCAGUCCUUUAUCAUUCAUUGUCAUUUACAUUUCAUAUGAAUUGUUUAUGUUUCAAGCCAUUUUCACUUUGCUCAUUUGAGCCAUAUCUUGUGAUCGUAUAUAUUGUUUGCUUGCUUUUGUUUUGUCUGUGGUCUUAGGACCUUAAAACAUUUAAUAACAAGGAAAACCCUAAAAAACAUUUGGUGGACUGUUAGAACUUGAUCUGAGCUUUGGACUUAGAAUUAGGCAACAUUCCAUAUGAUAAAGGACUUGGCCAAUAACAACAUUUGAGACUAAGCUAUCUUUGACAAUGCGCCCAUCUGAUACAAGACUUGAAAACUUCUUUGAUUCAUCUG
Molecule: long non-coding RNA, 422 nt
Filed under: Lathyrus oleraceus (garden pea)
Lineage: Eukaryota; Viridiplantae; Streptophyta; Magnoliopsida; Fabales; Fabaceae
Description: Pisum sativum (pea) long non-coding RNA (PSAT_LNC006676)
Source: RNAcentral